RNAcentral lists this transfer RNA (72 nucleotides) under Candidatus Tayloriibacteriota bacterium. RNAcentral's name for it is "tRNA-Arg". It matches the Rfam family "tRNA". Rfam says of the family: Transfer RNA (tRNA) molecules are approximately 80 nucleotides in length. Their secondary structure includes four short double-helical elements and three loops (D, anti-codon, and T loops). The record is from RNAcentral. Lineage: Bacteria; Candidatus Tayloriibacteriota.
CCCCCCGUCGUUCAAUGGAUAGGACAUGAGUUUGCGGAACUCAAGAUUGAGGUUCGAUUCCUCACGGGGGGA